UAAGGAAUAUUGGUCAAUGGAGGCAACUCUGAACCAGCCAUGCCGCGUGCAGGAAGACGGCCCUCUGGGUUGUAAACUGCUUUUGCCGGGGAAUAAACCCCUCUACGUGUAGAGGGCUGAAUGUACCCGGCGAAUAAGGAUCGGCUAACUCCGUGCCAGCAGCCGCGGUAAUACGGAGGAUCCGAGCGUUAUCCGGAAUUAUUGGGUUUAAAGGGUGCGUAGGCGGCCUGAUAAGUCAGGGGUGAAAGACGGUGGCUCAACCAUCGCAGUGCCUUUGAUACUGUCGGGCUUGAAUGUACUUGAGGUAGGCGGAAUGUGACAAGUAGCGGUGAAAUGCAUAGAUAUGUCACAGAACACCGAUUGCGAAGGCAGCUUACUAAAGUAUGAUUGACGCUGAGGCACGAAAGCGUGGGGAUCAAACAGG
RNAcentral lists this ribosomal RNA (424 nucleotides) under uncultured bacterium. RNAcentral describes it as "bacterial SSU rRNA". It matches the Rfam family "Bacterial small subunit ribosomal RNA", at positions 355 to 776 of the family's 1533-position model. The record is from RNAcentral.